GAUGAACGCUGGCGGCGUGCCUAAUACAUGCAAGUCGAGCGAACGGACGAGGAGCUUGCUCCUCUGACGUUAGCGGCGGACGGGUGAGUAACACGUGGAUAACCUACCUAUAAGACUGGGAUAACUUCGGGAAACCGGAGCUAAUACCGGAUAAUAUAUUGAACCGCAUGGUUCAAUAGUGAAAGACGGUUUUGCUGUCACUUAUAGAUGGAUCCGCGCCGCAUUAGCUAGUUGGUAAGGUAACGGCUUACCAAGGCAACGAUGCUUAGCCGACCUGAGAGGGUGAUCGGCCACACUGGAACUGAGACACGGUCCAGACUCCUACGGGAGGCAGCAGUAGGGAAUCUUCCGCAAUGGGCGAAAGCCUGACGGAGCAACGCCGCGUGAGUGAUGAAGGUCUUCGGAUCGUAAAACUCUGUUAUUAGGGAAGAACAAAUGUGUAAGUAACUGUGCACGUCUUGACGGUACCUAAUCAGAAAGCCACGGCUAACUACGUG
This 497-nucleotide ribosomal RNA is filed under the name uncultured bacterium. Its description in RNAcentral is "partial 16S ribosomal RNA". It matches the Rfam family "Bacterial small subunit ribosomal RNA", at positions 28 to 507 of the family's 1533-position model. The record is from RNAcentral.